CGCGUAGGCGGGUUGGCAAGUCCGGGGUGAAAUCUUUCAGCUUAACUGGAAAAGUGCCCCUGAUACUGCCAGUCUCGAGGGAGGUAGGGGCAUGUGGAACUUCCGGUGGAGCGGUGAAAUGCGUAGAUAUCGGAAGGAACGCCGGUGGCGAAAGCGACGUGCUGGACCUCUUCUGACGCUGAGGCGCGAAAGCUAGGGGAGCAAACG
RNAcentral lists this ribosomal RNA (207 nucleotides) under uncultured bacterium. RNAcentral describes it as "partial 16S ribosomal RNA". It matches the Rfam family "Bacterial small subunit ribosomal RNA", at positions 568 to 774 of the family's 1533-position model. The record is from RNAcentral.